RNA transcript from Capsicum annuum, 1198 nucleotides. RefSeq lists it as uncharacterized. The transcript is spliced from 3 exons. Lineage: Eukaryota; Viridiplantae; Streptophyta; Magnoliopsida; Solanales; Solanaceae. The record is from RefSeq and is a predicted model, not a curated record.
CUGGAAUUUUAUAAAGUAAUAGAGAGGUGAAUGUAAAUGAUCAAAACAUUAGCUCCACAGCCAAUUACUGAAUACUGAUAGCUCCGAUCUCUUGUACUGAGAGAAGAGAUGUUCAGGAGGAGAUUUUUGUCGUUUCCGCUCGUAAUAGGCGCUGUUAUAAUUGGAGUUGUAUCUGGGAAAGCUAUAUUUGCACAACCACUUGAUGAAUAUUGGAAGAAGAAACUUCAGGAGAAACCAGCCGCAAAAGAAAAUGAUGACAUCAGCAACAACGGAGGAAAAGGGGAAAAAAAUGGGGAAACAAAAAAAAAAAGAAGCUGAUCCACUACAGAAAUACAAUAAACUAUGUAAGUAUAUUGAUAAGAACGACUUAAAAUACGACAGCUACUAAGCCUACUAAGGUCGUUGUCUACAUUUAUUUUUUAUAUACUAUAAUAUGAUUGAACAAUAAUUGUAUGGGGCUGAAUGAAUAUGGAUAUAGGAGUAGUUUUUGGAAUAGUUUAUAGUUAGGUAUUCUGUUAAAUGUGAAAAAAAAAAAAUGGUUUUGGGAGGAUAUAGAUGAUGGACUUUUAUGGUCCCACUGUUUAUCUUUAAGUUCCACAGUCAAAAAAGCGGUGCACAUAAUUAGCUAGAAACUUGGUGACCUGGCUUUGUCUUCGUUUGCCAAGUGUUUGCAAUGAACUGGCUCCUCGUGGCUCUACUUUCAUAUUACGUCUUCGCUUUUUCUCUUUUUCCUUUUUGUCUUCAAAUAUUGUUCAUGGUAUCUACAGAUAUUUCAUAUUUGCAUUGGCUUGGUGUUGGUCAUUUGGUUCACGUAAUUUUUAUGUGUGCAAUGUGUUAUAAGAAAAAUAAGGCAUAAGUCAUCAACUUGCCGUCAAAGUUAUAUCGACAUAUAAUUCAUUAGAAGUCUUAGUUUAGAUUUGUUCCUAUCGACCACCGGGAGUAUUCAGAAUUUGUACCAAUGACAACAUGGACUGUUUAAAAGAUACUUUUGUUAUUAAAAACUCCAUGUAGUGUUAUUAUUAACUAGGGGUGUUCAAAGCUCGUAUCGUCUUAUUCCAUUUUGUGAUAGCAUGCAUGCUUCAUACUGAAUUUGAUAUCCUAUAUUGAUGUUUAUGCGGAUCGGAGUAUUAUGCUUAUGGAAAAAUAAAAUGAAUACACACUUUAACUUACCAUAUUGAUAUAAAUCUUCAUCCUUACA